RNAcentral lists this transfer RNA (61 nucleotides) under Dysdera gibbifera. RNAcentral's name for it is "tRNA-Leu". The record is from RNAcentral. Lineage: Eukaryota; Metazoa; Arthropoda; Arachnida; Araneae; Dysderidae.
UUAAUACCCAUAUAUGGCAGAAUAUACUAUUGCAUAAGAAUUAGAAUCUUAACAACCUAUU